This 253-nucleotide ribosomal RNA is filed under the name uncultured bacterium. RNAcentral describes it as "partial 16S ribosomal RNA". It matches the Rfam family "Bacterial small subunit ribosomal RNA", at positions 524 to 776 of the family's 1533-position model. The record is from RNAcentral.
UACGAAGGGGGCUAGCGUUGCUCGGAAUCACUGGGCGUAAAGGGUGCGUAGGCGGGUCUUUAAGUCAGGGGUGAAAUCCUGGAGCUCAACUCCAGAACUGCCUUUGAUACUGGCGAUCUCGAGUCCGGGAGAGGUGAGUGGAACUGCGAGUGUAGAGGUGAAAUUCGUAGAUAUUCGCAAGGACACCAGUGGCGAAGGCGGCUCACUGGCCCGGUACUGACGCUGAGGUGCGAAAGCGUGGGGAGCAAACAGG